Molecule: small RNA, 183 nt
Filed under: Staphylococcus aureus
Lineage: Bacteria; Bacillati; Bacillota; Bacilli; Caryophanales; Staphylococcaceae
Description: HMPRFS0000_2660
Source: RNAcentral
GAUUAAAAUCAUCUAUAUGAAUAUCUGUUGUAUUUGUAGCCAGUUGAGCUGUUAAAUCAAUUGUUGAAAUUAACUCAGUGAAUUGUGAUACGUUAUCUUGUUGGAAGUGUAUUUGUGGUGGUUCAGUAAUCUUGGAAACGAGUGAACGGAACUGUUUAGGACUAAAAUGCAAGUAAUUCUUAA